This 1059-nucleotide ribosomal RNA is filed under the name Vibrio harveyi. RNAcentral describes it as "bacterial SSU rRNA". It matches the Rfam family "Bacterial small subunit ribosomal RNA", at positions 130 to 1185 of the family's 1533-position model. The record is from RNAcentral. Lineage: Bacteria; Pseudomonadati; Pseudomonadota; Gammaproteobacteria; Vibrionales; Vibrionaceae.
CCUGAAGUGGGGGAUAACCAUUGGAAACGAUGGCUAAUACCGCAUAAUACCUACGGGUCAAAGAGGGGGACCUUCGGGCCUCUCGCGUCAGGAUAUGCCUAGGUGGGAUUAGCUAGUUGGUGAGGUAAUGGCUCACCAAGGCGACGAUCCCUAGCUGGUCUGAGAGGAUGAUCAGCCACACUGGAACUGAGACACGGUCCAGACUCCUACGGGAGGCAGCAGUGGGGAAUAUUGCACAAUGGGCGCAAGCCUGAUGCAGCCAUGCCGCGUGUGUGAAGAAGGCCUUCGGGUUGUAAAGCACUUUCAGUCGUGAGGAAGGUAGUGUAGUUAAUAGCUGCAUUAUUUGACGUUAGCGACAGAAGAAGCACCGGCUAACUCCGUGCCAGCAGCCGCGGUAAUACGGAGGGUGCGAGCGUUAAUCGGAAUUACUGGGCGUAAAGCGCAUGCAGGUGGUUUGUUAAGUCAGAUGUGAAAGCCCGGGGCUCAACCUCGGAAUAGCAUUUGAAACUGGCAGACUAGAGUACUGUAGAGGGGGGUAGAAUUUCAGGUGUAGCGGUGAAAUGCGUAGAGAUCUGAAGGAAUACCGGUGGCGAAGGCGGCCCCCUGGACAGAUACUGACACUCAGAUGCGAAAGCGUGGGGAGCAAACAGGAUUAGAUACCCUGGUAGUCCACGCCGUAAACGAUGUCUACUUGGAGGUUGUGGCCUUGAGCCGUGGCUUUCGGAGCUAACGCGUUAAGUAGACCGCCUGGGGAGUACGGUCGCAAGAUUAAAACUCAAAUGAAUUGACGGGGGCCCGCACAAGCGGUGGAGCAUGUGGUUUAAUUCGAUGCAACGCGAAGAACCUUACCUACUCUUGACAUCCAGAGAACUUUCCAGAGAUGGAUUGGUGCCUUCGGGAACUCUGAGACAGGUGCUGCAUGGCUGUCGUCAGCUCGUGUUGUGAAAUGUUGGGUUAAGUCCCGCAACGAGCGCAACCCUUAUCCUUGUUUGCCAGCACUUCGGGUGGGAACUCCAGGGAGACUGCCGGUGAUAAACCGGAGGAAGGUGGGGACGACGU